UCGUUUUGAAUUUAGCUCAACUUCUCAAUAUUUACACCUUUGGUCCUCGAACUAUCACUUUGUUGCGUUUUGGUCCUUCUUCGACUCUUUUCUCCUGAAUUCCAUAAUUUCCAUUGAAAUACCUAUAUUGCAUGAAUUUAAUAGAAUUAAGCCACAAUUCAACCAUUUUAUCCAUGUUUAAGUCAUGUUUGUGAACCAA
Molecule: long non-coding RNA, 199 nt
Filed under: Olea europaea (common olive)
Lineage: Eukaryota; Viridiplantae; Streptophyta; Magnoliopsida; Lamiales; Oleaceae
Description: long non-coding RNA (OEUR_LNC008882)
Source: RNAcentral